AUUGACAAUUCAAAUAUUACAUGGUCACUUUCCCCCAGAGUUCCCAUGGUUGUUAUUUUGCCCACCAGGCCAUCCCUGUUAGUAUUAAAUCCAGUAUAGCUGAUCCUCUCGUACCUUCCUCUACUUUCUGCUGGAGAAAGUUGUCAGCAACACAUGUCAGCAAUCUCUUGAAAGGGCCAUGCUUGGCAGAAUUUGUCUCCCAGUAUAUAUCGGGGAAAUUGAAGUACCCCAUAGUGACUACAUCAUUCUUCUUGGAAAUGCUGGCAAGUUGCUUUUCAAAGGUUGCAUCCUUGACCUCUUUUUGACUGGGUGGAUGGUAAUAUAUGUCAACAAUUAUGUUUUUCUUAUUUUUUGCUCCCUUUAAAUUUAGCCAGAUGCUUUCAGUGGACUACUAAGUUCUUCUUGAAUUUUGUGCUGAUAUAUGUAUCUCUCACAUAUAUGUGUCAUGUAAACUGGCUCUUCCCUUUAGAUGUU
This is a long non-coding RNA of Varanus komodoensis (Komodo dragon), 474 nucleotides long. RefSeq lists it as uncharacterized. The record is from RefSeq and is a predicted model, not a curated record. The transcript has 3 exons. NCBI's taxonomy places the organism in Eukaryota, Metazoa, Chordata, Lepidosauria, Squamata, Varanidae.